This 544-nucleotide ribosomal RNA is filed under the name Colletotrichum gloeosporioides. RNAcentral describes it as "eukaryotic LSU rRNA". The stretch from base 172 to 325 matches the Rfam family "5.8S ribosomal RNA". The record is from RNAcentral. Lineage: Eukaryota; Fungi; Ascomycota; Sordariomycetes; Glomerellales; Glomerellaceae.
GAAUAAAUAACUCAUACCCUUGGUGACAUACCUAUAACUGUUUGCUUCGAGCGGGGUAGGGUCUCCGUGACCCUCCCGGCCUCCCGCCCCCGGGCGGGUCGGCGCCCGCCGGAGGAUAACCAAACUCUGAUUUAACGACGUUUCUUCUGAGUGGUACAAGCAAAUAAUCAAAACUUUUAACAACGGAUCUCUUGGUUCUGGCAUCGAUGAAGAACGCAGCGAAAUGCGAUAAGUAAUGUGAAUUGCAGAAUUCAGUGAAUCAUCGAAUCUUUGAACGCACAUUGCGCCCGCCAGCAUUCUGGCGGGCAUGCCUGUUCGAGCGUCAUUUCAACCCUCAAGCUCUGCUUGGUGUUGGGGCCCUACAGCUGAUGUAGGCCCUCAAAGGUAGUGGCGGACCCUCCCGGAGCCUCCUUUGCGUAGUAACUUUACGUCUCGCACUGGGAUCCGGAGGGACUCUUGCCGUAAAACCCCCAAUUUUCCAAAGGUUGACCUCGGAUCAGGUAGGAAUACCCGCUGAACUUAAGCAUAUCAAUAAGCGGAGGAA